RNAcentral lists this ribosomal RNA (467 nucleotides) under uncultured bacterium. RNAcentral describes it as "partial 16S ribosomal RNA". It matches the Rfam family "Bacterial small subunit ribosomal RNA", at positions 28 to 507 of the family's 1533-position model. The record is from RNAcentral.
GACGAACGCUGGCGGCGUGCUUAACACAUGCAAGUCGAACGGAAAGGCCUCUUUCGGGGGGUACUCGAGUGGCGAACGGGUGAGUAACACGUGAGUAACCUGCCCUUGACUUUGGGAUAACUUCAGGAAACUGGGGCUAAUACCGGAUAGGAGCUCCUGCUGCAUGGUGGGGGUUGGAAAGUUUCGGCGGUUGGGGAUGGACUCGCGGCUUAUCAGCUUGUUGGUGGGGUAGUGGCUUACCAAGGCUUUGACGCGUAGCCGGCCUGAGAGGGUGACCGGCCACAUUGGGACUGAGAUACGGCCCAGACUCCUACGGGAGGCAGCAGUGGGGAAUAUUGCACAAUGGGUGGAAGCCUGAUGCAGCAACGCCGUGUGCGGGAUGACGGCCUUCGGGUUGUAAACCGCUUUCGCUCAUGACGAAGCUUUGUGUGACGGUAGUGGGUAAAGAAGCACCGGCUAACUACGUG